This 446-nucleotide long non-coding RNA is filed under the name Mytilus galloprovincialis (Mediterranean mussel). The record is from RNAcentral. Lineage: Eukaryota; Metazoa; Mollusca; Bivalvia; Mytilida; Mytilidae.
GUUCUGAUUUCCGAUACGAUCAAAUGUCUGCAGAUCUUAUAUAAUGCAAUUGUCUUCAAUUUCAAAGCUGGCAAGAGGAUAAAAAAGGAGAUAAACCAAAAUCCUUAAAUCAAAGACGUACCGACAACACCAUGAUUCAACAUGCCACAAACCAUUAUACACUAUACACUGGAAAAUAUACAAGUUUGAACACGACUCCUAUAAUAAAUCGAAACUAAGCCAGGAAUAAAUUCGGAAGCAAUUUUUAUAUAGAUCAUUAUUCAUAUUCGAAAACACUAGCACCAUAAACUUUAUAUGAGAUGACAUUAUACAUAUCAUCUUCUGCAUAUUCACAAUCGUUUGGUCAUUUCUCUACCAGACGAUUCUGUUUAGGGUGCAAUAAUUUGUCCUCAAUGUUAAUGUACUGACUCAGACCAAACCAGAUUGUCAAAUAUAACCAUGAAGAG